AAGAAGGGGGAGAGGGGGCGUGAAGUCAGAAGGUAACGGAGGGUGAGAUCACACACCACGUUGCGAGUCGGAAGAAGAAGGACUUGGCUUGGAGUCUGAAUGAGACGGGGAAGGGGGUGCCCAGGCUGGAAGAUGAUGGCAGCCUGGACCAAGGCUAUAGAGGACGGGAAACAGGAAAUGGAUUCUGACCCCAAGGAAAGCAGCGCCUAUAGGAUUUGCUAACAGGGUGUGAGAGGAAGGCAACUGAACGACUCAGGAAGUGGGAGAAGGGAAUGAUGCUAACAAAGACAGAUGGGGUGCCUGGGUGGCUCAGUCAGUUAAGCAUCCAACUCUCGGUUUCGGCUCGGGUCAUGAUCUCCCGGUUCAUGAGUUCGAGCCCUGUGUCGGGUUCUGCACCGGCAGCGUGGGGUCUGCUUGAGAUUCCUUCUCCCCCUCUCUCUCAAAAUAAAUAAACAUUUAAAAAAAUUUUUUAAAAGGGACACCUGGGUGGCUCACUCAGGUAAGCAUCUGACUUCGGCUCAGGUCAUGACCUCGCCGUUUGUCAGCCGCCCCACAUCAGGCUUUCUGCUGUCAGUGCAGAGCCCGCUUUGGAUCUCCUGUCUGUCUCUCUCUCUAUACACCUUCCCUGCUCGUGCUCUCUCUAGUUCAAAAAUAAAUAAACAUUUUUUAAAAAUUAAAAAAAAAAAAAAAAAGAACGACUGUGGAGGCUAGCAGAUUGGAGAUAAAAGGACAAUAAGGAUUUCCCUUUUGAAUAUGUUAUGGUUGGCUUUUUUGUUUGUGUUUGGUUGGUUGGUUGGUUUUGUUUAUUCCCGAAUUUACAAUCAAAGAACUGACAGGAUACAGUCUCAAGAUCCAUUCGGAAAAGGCAUCAUCGGCUCUUGGUUUUGCCACUGACCUGCCUUUUCCAAAGCCCAUCCCACCCCCACACCCUACACCACUCCCUCCUUCCCCACAAAAUCAUGAGGACUCUUCGGCAGUAUUAAAUUUUGAUUACGAUCAGGUAAUCAUCCAGGCAAUUUUGGCCCCAGACUGCCUUCCUUGCCUCUAGAAGCUCCUUUACACCCAUACCUCCUUGUGUAACCCCCAGAAGCAGUCUUCUACAAAGGGUCCCCUAGAAACAACCGCCCAGGGAAACAGACACUUGAGCAGCCUCGAGGGGGACCGCAGGCAGAUUAUGUUUGAAAUGCUUAUUAGACACAUCAACUAGAGAUGUCUAGCAAGCAGUCAGGUGCAGGAGUCUGGAGUUUACGGGAGCGAUCCAGGCAAGAGAUAUAAAGGAACAUGUCUUCUUCACACAGAGAGAGUUGAACGUCUGAGCAGAGAUAGAGAAGAGUGACAAGCACCCUCAGGCACUCCACUCGUGUGUGGAGAGAUGAGAAACCAGCAAAGCGGACUGAGAAAGACCAGCCAGAGAGGGGAAAGGAAAACCAGGAGGGGUGUGCCCACGCAGUACGGUGGAGAAUCUAUUUCGAGGAGGAGAAAACGCAACGUGUUAAAUGUUGCCAGCAGGUGAAGAGAAGAUGGGGCCCCCGACCGUGGGCUGUGGCAGGGAAAUGUCACUGAGCAGAGACAGCAGAGGCUGAGCAAGGGCGAAAGCCCACUGUCACAGGUCCAGCACAGAACGGGAAGGGAGGUCUUAGCCAUAACGAAUACGGACAACUCACCCAAACCUGCUGCUGCGCGAGGCAGAAAAGAAAUUGGCUGGUGGCUGGCUGGAGGGGAAAUCAGAGUUCAGAGAGGAUGUUCUUAUUUAAUAGGAAAAAUAAUAACUUGUAUGCCGGUGGGAAUUCAGGAAGGAAAACGGAUACGGGAAGAGAGGGGCAACUCUGUGUGACAACGUCCUUGAGAAGGUAGAUGGAGACAGAGGCGGGGUGCCGCGUGCAAGGAGCUGGGAGCGCGGGCACAGACACGGGUGGGCAGCCGGUGCACCGGCAGGAGCACGUGGACGUUCUCUUCUGAUUGCUCCUGUUUUGUUAGUGAAGAAGGAAGUGGCUGAAAGCAAAGAGGCCACGGGCAUCUGGAGACCCGGUACAAAGUGUGCAACAGUUGUGCAAGAGAACAGGGGGAUGAGUGGAUGGCAGAAACAGGGACCGCUGGGCAGCGCCAAGGGUCGACUGGGGAUUUAGGAUCAUUAACUCGGUGAGAUGAUCGGUUUGGCGGCGGUGGCUUUGUGCCGGCACAACAGGCUACAGGGGCGCAAGCACCCAGCAGCUGGAGAGAGACGGUUUUCGCCGGAAGGGUGCACGGGUCAGGGGUGAGAGGGACAAGGAUGCACAGUGCAGUAGUGACUCGAGAGGCUGAUCCUGGCACUCCAGCUGGGGAGGCCAGCAGUCAGGAGCCGGGGAACGGUGCCGCCUUCAAUGACCCAAGGAUCCUGGCGGUGCAGGCGUGAGGUUGAAGGGACUACAGGGCAAGCCCACAGAGGAUGUGGUGAUGCGAACAGGAUGCCCCGGGUGAGCUGUGGAGGCAGCGAGGUCACCAGUGACCGCAGCAUCGAACCAGCAUCGCUCUCUUGGUGGCUGACAGCGGCGGGAGACAAGUUCACGGGAGGGGAAACCAAUCAGUCUGAACACUGGCAUCCUGGACACCAGGGACGCGAACCAGAAACAGGAGGCUUCAACAAGCCAGGGGAGGGACUCUGUGGAGGGGGGGACGACAGCCACAGGGGGUCAGGGGGCCACGCAGGAGACCCCAGACUCAGAGCACAGGCUCUCGGGAGGAAGGGGACUGGUAGGGACACCGCAUGGAGGGCACGACCCCGCCCCCAACCGCAGCCACAAGACAGGAUUGCUGCUUCACUCCAAAAAGGCAAGGGGCAGGGGAUGCUCACAGACGGUUCAGGAAGCAGGGAAUUUCUCUGACAACUAACUGUAUGGGCUCCAUGAGUUCCAGGGGGAGGGGCAGGGACAGCACUGGAAGUGGCCCAUGAGGACUGGGACGCAGGCAUGACAGAUGCCUCGGGAGUCCAGGCUGCCUGCGGUGACCGGCACAGGCAGGAGGAAGAGGUGUGGUGACACCAGGCCUCGCGGGCAAGGCAGACAGUGCUGAACAGGCUGGCAGCGUGGACCUGUCCCAGGUGAGCCCUGCCGGGGAAGCGGCGGGCGCUGAGGAGGUGCAAACCUCCCCCUCGCUCCUGCACCAGCAAGACAGGUCUUGUAAACUUGGCCUCUCCAAAAAAAAAAGCAGAAA
Molecule: long non-coding RNA, 3189 nt
Organism: Acinonyx jubatus (cheetah)
Lineage: Eukaryota; Metazoa; Chordata; Mammalia; Carnivora; Felidae
Exons: 2
Source: RefSeq, a predicted model, not a curated record